Molecule: ribosomal RNA, 433 nt
Filed under: uncultured bacterium
Lineage: Bacteria
Description: partial 16S ribosomal RNA
Rfam family: Bacterial small subunit ribosomal RNA
Source: RNAcentral
AGCGAACGCUGGCGGCAGGCCUAACACAUGCAAGUCGAACGAACUCUUCGGAGUUAGUGGCGGACGGGUGAGUAACACGUGGGAAGGUGCCUUUUGGUUCGGAAUAACUCAGGGAAACUUGUGCUAAUACCGAAGGUGCCCUUCGGGGGAAAGAUUUAUCGCCAUGAGAGCGGCCCGCGUCUGAUUAGCUAGUUGGUGAGGUAACGGCUCACCAAGGCGACGAUCAGUAGCUGGACGGAGAGGAUGACCAGCCACACUGGGACUGAGACACGGACCAGACUCCUACGGGAGGCAGCAGUGGGGAAUCUUGCGCAAUGGGCGAAAGCCUGACGCAGCCAUGCCGCGUGAAUGAUGAAGGUCUUAGGAUUGUAAAAUUCUUUCACCGGGGACGAUAAUGACGGUACCCGGAGAAGAAGCCCCGGCUAACUUCGUG